GAAACGCACCAGGGGUGCCUGCAUCUGUUCCAGUCCAUGCCAUUUUGGCUAGGAUGUGGUCAGUGCUGGCUGAGAAAGUCCCUUUGAACCUGAACAGGAUAAUGCCUGCGUAGGGAGCGUGCAAUUUUUUUUUC
This 134-nucleotide non-coding RNA is filed under the name Macleaya cordata. RNAcentral describes it as "TPP sequence". It matches the Rfam family "TPP riboswitch aptamer (THI element)". Rfam says of the family: Vitamin B(1) in its active form thiamin pyrophosphate (TPP) is an essential coenzyme that is synthesised by coupling of pyrimidine and thiazole moieties in bacteria. Lineage: Eukaryota; Viridiplantae; Streptophyta; Magnoliopsida; Ranunculales; Papaveraceae. The record is from Rfam by way of RNAcentral.